RNAcentral lists this long non-coding RNA (617 nucleotides) under Olea europaea (common olive). RNAcentral's name for it is "long non-coding RNA (OEUR_LNC001422)". The record is from RNAcentral. Lineage: Eukaryota; Viridiplantae; Streptophyta; Magnoliopsida; Lamiales; Oleaceae.
UCAUUGCAUUUUGGCCUCAACCCAUACAACCCAUAGCUACGUACAUCAUGACACUAGAACCCGCAAAUCCCAUUCUCCUGCCGACAUUAAAAAGUUUUAUUGACUUUGAAGAAAAUGUAAAUAAAAUUCUCAUGCCACAUCAAUAUUAGGGACAGUCUUAUCCUACUCACUAUAAUCAAGAUUACAAUUUCGAUCAUCUAAAUACUACCGUAUAACAUAAAUUAUUACAACUAAGGUUAAACAUCCCAGGUUAUUCCAGAUCACAGCUGUUGUCUUGAGUGAUAGUACACGUCGGAUUCCACCGUGGAAAUCAUCACUUGCCUCCGACCCGACCAAACGAAACUACAAUUAUAAAUUUUAAUAUUACUCAUUGCAUUUUGGCCUCAACCCAUACAACCCAUAGCUACGUACAUCAUGACACUAGAACCCGCAAAUCCCAUUCUCCUGCCGACAUUAAAAAGUUUUAUUGACUUUGAAGAGAACCGUAAAUAAAAUUCUCAUGCCACAUCAAUAUUAGGGACAGUCUUAUCCUACUCACUAUAAUCAAGAUUACAAUUUCGAUCAUCUAAAUACUACCGUAUAACAUAAAUUAUUACAACUAAGGUUAAACAUCCCAG